Molecule: long non-coding RNA, 387 nt
Filed under: Malus domestica (apple)
Lineage: Eukaryota; Viridiplantae; Streptophyta; Magnoliopsida; Rosales; Rosaceae
Description: long non-coding RNA (MDOM_LNC019351)
Source: RNAcentral
UUUGAAUGAAAUUGGCAUGAGUUCUAGUGUUUGGAACUAAAUGAUGAAACGCCUUCUAAGUAGUAACCAAGCAAAGAAUAAUGAGAUCAUGCAACGACUUUAGAAAACAAGAAUGCACAGAUUUUAACUCUCCAAAUAAACAUUUAGGCUCAAGUCUCAUAAGGUUGUAGCGUUUGUUUGAGUUCCUUCCUUCAAGCAUGUUACAAAAACUGAUUUUCCUUUAUGAUUACAUGUGAAUUCAUAAGUUAUAACCACAACCAAGCAUAAACCAAAGAGUAAAUCAAACUUUCAUCCAUGUUUAUAACUCUCUUUAACAGUCAUGCAAUUACAAACCGAAUCCUCAUCAUUGUGUUGGAAGGUACUCUAAGACACAAACAAACACACAAA